RNAcentral lists this ribosomal RNA (506 nucleotides) under uncultured bacterium. RNAcentral describes it as "partial 16S ribosomal RNA". It matches the Rfam family "Bacterial small subunit ribosomal RNA", at positions 28 to 523 of the family's 1533-position model. The record is from RNAcentral.
GAUGAACGCUAGCUACAGGCUUAACACAUGCAAGUCGAGGGGUAACGAGAGGGAAGCUUGCUUUCCUUGUCGACGACCGGCGCACGGGUGAGUAACGCGUAUCCAACCUGCCCCCAACUAAGGAAUAACCUUGCGAAAGUAAGACUAAUACCUUAUAAUUUCCUCAGAUGACAUCUGACGAGGAAUAAAGAUUUAUCGGUUGUGGAUGGGGAUGCGUCUGAUUAGCUUGUUGGCGGGGUAACGGCCCACCAAAGCAACGAUCAGUAGGGGUUCUGAGAGGAAGGUCCCCCACAGUGGAACUGAGACACGGUCCAAACUCCUACGGGAGGCAGCAGUGAGGAAUAUUGGUCAAUGGGCGAAAGCCUGAACCAGCCAAGUAGCGUGCAGGAUGACGGCCCUAUGGGUUGUAAACUGCUUUUAUACAGGAAUAAAGUUAGCCACGUGUGGUUAUUUGUAGGUACUGUAUGAAUAAGGACCGGCUAAUUCCGUGCCAGCAGCCGCAGUAA